This 65-nucleotide transfer RNA is filed under the name Anotogaster sieboldii. Its description in RNAcentral is "tRNA-Phe". Lineage: Eukaryota; Metazoa; Arthropoda; Insecta; Odonata; Cordulegastridae. The record is from RNAcentral.
AUUUAAGUAGCUUAUUAAAAGCAUAAUAUUGAAGCUAUUAAGAUGGUUGAUUUAACCCUUAAAUA